AAAGAACUCGGCCACUCAGAGACUCUGGCUGGACCUGACCUCCCAUAAGUAUGAACUCUACCUCAACCCACUUCCUAGAGUGCACAGCAGGGAACACAGGGGCUGCUGCUGCUGCUCAGGGGACACGGCAGGGUCUACCGAGCCCAGCCCAGACUUACUUGAUCACCUGCUCUUCCCGUUUGGCCUGCUCUUCUGCCUGCUCAGCUUCUGUCACGUCCUGGGAUAAAAUCAGGGUCAGACAAGCCCAAGUGCUGUCUGUCCUUUCCCCUGCCUCAUCCCAUCCCGUAGGUUCACACCUUCCAGAGAAUGAUUCGGGAGUCACUGCCGCCGGUGAUGGCGUGAUCAUCCAGCCGGCUGCAGUGCAGCCCCCAGACCUUGUCCUCGUGAGCAUCCAGGGUCCGCACACACUCAUUGCUCUUAAUGGUCCACAGCUUCAGGAGCCCAUCAGAACCACUGCGGUUGAGAAUGGAAGGACUCAGUGUAGGGGCAUGUCCCUCACCACGCACCCCCCAGCCCACUCCUAGCCCCUUCACCUAGACAGCAGCUGUGCGCCACGGCUCACAAAGGCCACCUUCAGUACAGAAGCAUCGUGCCCCUCAAAUGUCUGCGGGGGAGAAAUAAAGGACCCAAGUCUUACCGGUAUGAGAA
This 648-nucleotide long non-coding RNA is filed under the name Rattus norvegicus (Norway rat). Its description in RNAcentral is "long non-coding RNA NONRATT004087". Lineage: Eukaryota; Metazoa; Chordata; Mammalia; Rodentia; Muridae. The record is from RNAcentral.